RNAcentral lists this ribosomal RNA (406 nucleotides) under uncultured bacterium. RNAcentral's name for it is "partial 16S ribosomal RNA". It matches the Rfam family "Bacterial small subunit ribosomal RNA", at positions 30 to 526 of the family's 1533-position model. The record is from RNAcentral.
AUUGAACGCUGGCGGCAGGCCUAACACAUGCAAGUCGAACGAGUGGCGGACGGGCGAGUAAUGUCUGGGAAACUGUCCGAUCGAGGGGGAUAACUACUGGAAACGGUAGCUAAUACCGCAUACCAUCGGAUGUGCCCAGAUGGGAUUCGCUAGUGGUGGGUGUAAUGGCUCACCUAGGCGACGAUCCCUAGCUGGUCUGAGAGGAUGACCAGCCACACUGGAACUGAGACACGGUCCAGACUCCGACGGGAGGCAGGAGUGGGGAAUAUUGCACAAUGGGCGCAAGCCUGAUGCAGCCAUGCCGCGUGUAUGAAGAAGGCCUUCGGGUUGUAAAGUACUUUCAGCGGGGAGGCGUUACUCGCAGAAGAAGCACCGGCUAACUCCGUGCCAGCAGCCGCGGUAAUAC